UACAAAGUGUGCCUCUCGGUUGUGGGCAUGCCCAGUAGAGUUCGCCUUGCAGCCUGAAAUCCAGCCUCUAAAUUUGAACAGGAGGGAGACGAGGUGACUGAGCACACUUUUGUUGCUGCUCUCUCCCUCUGACUCUCCCACUUUCUCUCCCUCUCUCUCUCUCUCUCUCUCUCUCUCUCUCUCUCUCUCUCUCCCUCUCUAUCUCUCUCUCUCUCUCAAUGUUAUUCUUCCCUCCUCUGUCAGUAGUGAGUGUGUGGAGAGAUUUUUUGCUAUGGAAGAGCAAGAGGAGGUGCUGAAUUUCAGCUAGUACAAAAUGCAACAAGGGGGAAGUGAAGAAAAUAAGAAGAGCAAGAAGAAGAAGAAGAGGAGGAGGAGGGAGAAAAGACAUGAGAGAAAGACUUCACCCCCAUCUUCCUCUUCCUCUCCCUCACUCCCUCCUCUGCCAACGACUUUUACCUCAGAAAGAGCGGAGAGACCAACUUCAAAAGGCAGUCAGGAGGGAGCUGGAGUGUGAAACGUGAGGAGAGAAGCAAGAUGAGAGGCUGACCGGCGUUGUGUUUGCUAUGCUGUCCAGGAGCUGCCAGGACAUGAGACUGGGACCUACAGGUGACACCUGGCAGUAGUCUCUUUAUUCAUGGAAGACUGUACUCCGGAGGGCUCACAACCUGUGAGUGGAUACACAAAAGGCAGCGAGCUGCAAGAACAACGAGCGAUGGGGCAUCCUGGAUCCGAAGGGGAGGAAGCCCAGGUAUUGAUGACUGGAGGCCGAGGCAGAGCCCGUCUCAGUGUCAUCCUGCUGCAGGUCACGUUGGACUUAAAGACAAGCUGGAAAUCCCCUGAUGAGUCAACAUUUAACACUUUGCUGCCACGUCAACCAAAAAAGCCGCACACUUAUGUUUCUUUUUCAUUUUUUUGAAGGAAAAAGAGCUUAAGCAUGCUGGCAGUGGUUAACAUUUUGGGUAAUUUUCUGCCUCAGCAGCCUGGAUACCAGGAAGCUGUGCAGAUGUGUGUCUGCACAGGGCGAUUAGAUUUUGGCUUUUUCAAGUUGGUUUCUUUUUGUUUUUCAACUGAGCUGGCAAGUUUUUGAAGGAUGAUAUCAGUAAUCUAUUUGAUGGUGAUGGCAGAGUCACGCAGCGGCUGGAUCAGGAUGAGAUAAAGAAAAGCAAUCUCAGAAUUGAAGUCUUUGACUUUAUCUGGGAUCUUAAAGAAGAUGUUCAAUCAUUUGCAUACCUGCUAUUUCUGUUGUGGAGGCUCCUACUGCAGCAUGAGGUUGUUUGUGACAGUAUGGAAAUUACAUUCUUAAAAUUGUAAAACUGACUUUUUUGUUUUAUUUUCACUUAUUAAAUUCUUCACUUUGUAUUCAGGGAAGUAAUAAGCAUUUUUCACAGUUUUUUAGCACUGUACACAACGAUGAAUCGAUCAUUAUUAGCUGCACUUUCUGAUUCCACACAGGUAAACUUCAGUGUCACAGCGAUCAAAGAUAGUAAAGGCACAGAUGCACAGCAGAGACAGAUAAUCUUUAAUAAUGGUUUGUUGAGUAAUUGAGUAGUCAACUGAGUGGCAACCGUUUGACAGGCAAUUGAUUAUCUUUUCUAAUGUUAGUGGUAAAUCAAGUGGCUGACAUGUGGACUGACAAAGCAACACAAUGCAAGACAUAAUUUUGAUUUUGAUGCUGAAAUAAAACUACUUUUCUGGCUUUUAAUGAACCAUUCCUUUAAAUUUAAUUCUUUGUAACAUUUUAAACAACUGUAAGCUGGAAUCACUUUUUUGUAUUAUAACUACAAAUGUAUCUAUGAAGAGUUCAUUUGUAAAAACAGACAACUCCGUUUUGCUAAGUUUUCAGAAAACGUUUUAUUUUAUUGCUUACUUCAGAUGAUAUCAAUCAAACUGAAGUUGAGUGGAUUUGACUCAGUGGAAAAAUACAUGGCAAAAUGGAGAAAAAAUAAAUUAUUAGUGUUAUUUAUUAUUAUUAUUAUUAUUACUAUUAUCUCAAGUAAACAAAAAAAACAGUUUUCUGAAAAUUUAUAAAACGGAGUUACCUGUUUUUGCAAACAAACUCUUCAUAUCCUCAUCCUGCUGUCCUAUCAGUAGCUGCAUGUCUUCUGGUCAUGUACCUUCUGUACUUUUGUAUACACGAACACUGAGGUCCAGGGAAGCUGGAAGCAAAAAGCAAAGGCCUUUUGUGUCCAAACAUCAUUUAUAUCGUGUACAGUAGACACUUGUAUUGAGUAUAACACUUUUUUCUUUUACAGUGACACUUCAGUCUCCCUUUGUGGGAUCACAAAUGUUUUUUUGUGAUUCUAAAUUUGAUUGUAAAUGCUAAAUAUUUUGGUUAGGGUUGGGGUCAAGGUUAUUGCUGUGUUCAUGAUCUGAUGGUCACAGUACCUGACAUGAGACGCAGAUUUGCUGCGAAACCAAAUGGAAGCCACUGAUGUCCUGCCUGCGUUUUAGAAAGACGUCAUAAAAUACGUGACAUCCGGUGACCUGCCUAACAAGCUCAUAUCAAUAAAUUCACUCUCAGCUUUGAAAUCACAGCUGAAAGCACACUUUUCACACCGGUUAAUGUGUUUCAUUGACACAUGUGUCCUCUGCCUUCUGAAUCUGUUUACUUUGUGUAUUGCCAUCCACUUGUGACAUAACGUUCAGCUCAAUGACCCUGAAUAUUACAUGUAGUAGUAACACAACUGUCACUUGCAUAUUUCAUUACUGUUCUGAUGAAAACUUUGUCAUUUUGGUUUUAUUGUUUGUUUGAAUGUUCAUUUAUUACGUCAUGUUAACAUGUAACCUGAUGUACAGCUCCAUGAGAGGAGAUCAUAACUACAGACGAAGUGGAUUGCAAACCUACCAUAAAACUAAAUGAAUCUAUGUACCAAGUUUGUGAAGUACAGAUCCUGUGGUCUUUUUUUUUCUUCUAAUAAAUAGCAGAGAUGUGAGAGCAGUACAGUGCUCUCUUUAAAGGCCUGGUACUGAGAUAGAGAUGUCUUACAGUGGUGUCUAAAUAAAGUCUUACUGCUGUCAUUUCACAUGACUGUCAAUUCUUUAAACUGCCACGCUUAUUAAUAGAAGCUCUCACUGAGUUGUGGGAUUUUGCCAACCAACAUGCUUUUUAUUUCAUCUUUGGAGAUAUUUUUGUACCUUUUGAAAGCUUGAAAACUAAUUCUUUGGAUUUUUUUUUUUGCUGCUGCCAAGACAUAUCACAGCAUCUCUUCUGCUUACCACAAAGACAUUAGGCAGUAAAUGGACCUAAAGAUAUUAAUAAAGACAGCUGACAAGUUGUCAGCUUCUGGUAUACUUGCAGUAAUUUGUCUGUUUAAAACAGGAUGUAUGCAGCUGUGAAUGGUUAUUUAUUAAAUUGUUGUCCGUACCACACUAACACAUUAUUAAUGAACUUGUCAUGGUAAUUAGUCCUAUUUUAGGAGUAAAUAUUUAUUUAAUUUGUUUCGUCCUAAGCAUGCAGAAAUCCAUAAAUGCUUUUAUGCUUCAAGCGCAACAGUCAACUUUUACUGCUCGACAUGUGUUCACGCUAAUUUAGACAAGAGAAAAAGAAGUAAGUUCAGUAGCUGCGUUGUGCUUUGCUAAUGCUCUGAACUGUGCAUGUUAUUCAUUGUGAAACAGCUGCUCAACAGCUUUGUCUUUGUCUUUCUUGCAGCCUGUUAGACCAGGUCAGGACACGCCGGGGAUCGGUGCAUGAACAUGAGACGGAUAUGACAACCACACCGAAGCAAACUUCAGCUGCCCAUGCACACUCGUGUGCACGUUUCUGUGGUGUGCUGAGCCUGACCAGGGCGUACUGAUGUGCACACACACUCACAUCCUGACUAUGAAACAGCAAGUGUUGUUUUUAAAAUAUUUUAAAUAUCUUUGUAAUACAAAAAUAUGUAAUAAAAUAUUAAUCAAAUGUGUUUGUUUCGUAUUCUUUCAAGAUAUGCACCAAGGUUCUAUGCUAUCAUUUUGUUAUUUACAGCAUUGAAGCAUGCUGAUAUAUGAUCUACUGUGUAUUUCACAUAGUGUUCAUAUUUACCCUUCAUGUUAACACUUAUUUACUAUGUUGUAUAAUUUCUAGGUUUAUGCUAAAACUUAAACAUAAUGGCUUUCAUGCUGCCAGUUGGGCUCAAAUAAAUGACUGUGCCAUGCUAAUACAUUAGCUGACACUAGGUUUUCUGUGAACACUUUAUACUACACUAUUUUGUGUCAAUGUGCAUUUUAGUAUACUGUGCUGUGCUUGUAAUAUCAAUGGCACUUCAGCAUCUAUGCUAAUGUAACACACAGAAUAUUAAGAGAUAUUAUGUCAACAAAUAAAAGAAUGCUAUGUUAUGCAUAUUGCAUGCUGACAUUUUAGUACAUACUAUAUUGUUUCAUGUUGUCAUUGUAGCAUAGACUAUGUCUAAUAGACUUCUUCACACUUUACAUUGCAAUGCUACAUUUCAUGAUAACGUCUUUGCACAAAGUAUCCAGCAGGCUUUAUGCUAACCAAAAUAUACAAUGCUAUACCAUGGUGCACUGCAUGCUAACAUUACUAAUCUGGGAAAUGUUAAUUCAUCCUACCAUUUUAGCACAAGCAAAUUUUUUUGGCUUCUUGCUGAAACUUUCUUUAGCAGCGCAAUAAUACUCGACACUCCAAGUCAGUAUUUUAGCAUACGCCGUACCAGAAGGCUCUGUGCUACUAGCAACAUCACAAAAUGACAUUAUUAUGCCAAUGUAAUAAACAGUGCUAUGUGAUAGCACACUACAUGCUAGCAUUUUAGUAUAUACUAUUUUGUACAUGACAUAAUUUUAACAUGCAAUAUGUUCAUUAGGCUUCCAGUUUGUAUUUGGACCAUAAUGGUACACGCUAUGCUAACCUCUCUGUGAGCACGAUGUUAAUUGGUGGUAGAUGCCAUAAUACUAUACAAAACAAUGCAUGAACCACUACAUGGUAACAUUUUAGUGCACAGUAUUUUGGGGAAACAUAACCUCCUGCUGUCAUUUAAGUGAAUACUGGUUUGCUUCAUUCUACAAUAUUAGCAUUAUGUACAUUUGUUGGGCUUUCUGCUAACAUCUGGUAGCCAACACUUCAUGCUAACAUUUCAGAAUCCUCCAGUACUACAUGUAGAGGAAAAUUUCCUCAACGGUGAUUUUUACAAUGUUGCAAAUGAUCAACCCACUGAUUAAAUUUCUGGAAUUGUUUUGAGAUGAAAUGUCAA
Acanthochromis polyacanthus (spiny chromis) is the source of this 5183-nucleotide long non-coding RNA. RefSeq lists it as uncharacterized. The record is from RefSeq and is a predicted model, not a curated record. The transcript is spliced from 5 exons. Lineage: Eukaryota; Metazoa; Chordata; Actinopteri; Pomacentridae.